UGGGGGAUAUUGCGCAAUGGGGGAAACCCUGACGCAGCAACGCCGCGUGAAGGAAGAAGGUCUUCGGAUUGUAAACUUUUGUCUUUGGGGACGAAACAAAUGACUGUACCCAAGGAGGAAGCCACGGCUAACUACGUGCCAGCAGCCGCGGUAAUACGUAGGUGGCAAGCGUUGUCCGGAUUUACUGGGUGUAAAGGGCGUGUAGACGGGACUUAAAGUCAGAUGUGAAAUACCGCAGCUUAACUGCGGGGCUGCAUUUGAAACUUAAGUUCUUGAGUGCAGGAGAGGAAAGCGGAAUUCCUAGUGUAGCGGUGAAAUGCGUAGAUAUUAGGAGGAACACCGGUGGCGAAGGCGGCUUUCUGGACUGUAACUGACGUUGAGGCGCGAAAGCGUGGGUAGCAAACAGG
This 407-nucleotide ribosomal RNA is filed under the name uncultured bacterium. Its description in RNAcentral is "bacterial SSU rRNA". It matches the Rfam family "Bacterial small subunit ribosomal RNA", at positions 355 to 776 of the family's 1533-position model. The record is from RNAcentral.